UUCUUAUUAGUCACACUUUUACAACGAUUGUAAAACAUAGUUACUAAUACGGAAUCAAGUAUUCAAGUAGAAGAACCAACUAUUUUGAACUAUUGAAGAACAAUUUACAACACCUUCGAAAGGUGUGUUCUUGACACUUGCAAGAUUUUUCUUGCAAAUACCCCUUCCAAUGUCCAUUCUUUCAUAAAGAAAGUUUGUUCCCUUGGAGUUAAUUUUAUCUUCUUCAUUUGACUUCUCCUUUGACUAAAAUAGACAUGGUCCCUAAACUCCCACUAUCUCUCUUGAAACUUAUUUCAAUUGUGUUAUACACAUCAAACAUUUUGGAGAGCAUGUGUUUAUUGUUCACUAUAUACUUUACAAUAAACUUAGUGAACCAUUUGGAUAGGGACACUAAAGUGAAGUCCUUGCCUAGUUUCCGUCUCGUGAAGUGGUUUAACACUUCAACACUCAAUGAUUCAAAAUCAUCAUAAGUCCAUGUUAAUGGACUAUUUUUGUCAACCAACCAUUAUGUUCUAAACAUAAUUACAAACUUUCAAGAGUUGUACAAGGCAACUCUCAUUUCUUCAUACAACAAUUUGUAAGUGAAGAAUCAUGGCACAUAAAGUGUCCAUGCCCUUAUGCUUUCUUCUCAAGUUCUUUGUUCAUUUAACAAAGAAACAAGCACUAGUGUUUGCAUUAGCUAAGGGUUGUUCAAAGCAACUCUUAUUUCUUCAUACAACGAUUUGUAAGUGAACUAUGACAUUAAAAGUGUUGUCCUCCUUAUGAUAGACUUAUCUAACAUGUUCUUCCAAUGAUACAUUAUCAAUAGGAAGAUUGUGAGGAUUAGACUACUUGGGUACAUAUACAAUCCAUUUAAGACAAUCUUUGGGAUUGU
RNAcentral lists this long non-coding RNA (874 nucleotides) under Malus domestica (apple). RNAcentral's name for it is "long non-coding RNA (MDOM_LNC014986)". Lineage: Eukaryota; Viridiplantae; Streptophyta; Magnoliopsida; Rosales; Rosaceae. The record is from RNAcentral.